GACGAACGCUGCCGGCGUGCUUAACACAUGCAAGUCGAACGAAGAGCGAUGGAAGCUUGCUUCUAUCAAUCUUAGUGGCGAACGGGUGAGUAACGCGUAAUCAACCUGCCCUUCAGAGGGGGACAACAGUUGGAAACGACUGCUAAUACCGCAUACGAUCCAAUCUCGGCAUCGGGACUGGAUGAAAGGUGGCCUCUAUUUAUAAGCUAUCACUGAAGGAGGGGAUUGCGUCUGAUUAGCUAGUUGGAGGGGUAACGGCCCACCAAGGCGAUGAUCAGUAGCCGGUCUGAGAGGAUGAACGGCCACAUUGGGACUGAGACACGGCCCAGACUCCUACGGGAGGCAGCAGUGGGGAAUCUUCCGCAAUGGACGAAAGUCUGACGGAGCAACGCCGCGUGAGUGAUGACGGCCUUCGGGUUGUAAAGCUCUGUUAAUCGGGACGAAUGGUUCUUGUGCGAAUAGUGCGAGGAUUUGACGGUACCGGAAUAGAAAGCCACGGCUAACUACGUG
This 510-nucleotide ribosomal RNA is filed under the name uncultured bacterium. Its description in RNAcentral is "partial 16S ribosomal RNA". It matches the Rfam family "Bacterial small subunit ribosomal RNA", at positions 28 to 507 of the family's 1533-position model. The record is from RNAcentral.